This 442-nucleotide ribosomal RNA is filed under the name uncultured bacterium. RNAcentral describes it as "partial 16S ribosomal RNA". It matches the Rfam family "Bacterial small subunit ribosomal RNA", at positions 338 to 795 of the family's 1533-position model. The record is from RNAcentral.
CCUACGGGAGGCAGCAGUAGGGAAUCUUUCACAAUGGGCGAAAGCCUGAUGGAGCAACGCCGCGUGCAGGAUGAAGGCCUUCGGGUUGUAAACUGCUUUUAUAAGCGAGAAAUAUGAUGGUAACUUAUGAAUAAGGAUCGGCUAACUACGUGCCAGAAGCCGCGGUCAUACGUAGGAUCCGAGCAUUAUCCGGAGUGACUGGGUGUAAAGAGUUGCGUAGGUGGCAUGAUAAGUAGCUAGUGAAAUCUGGUGGCUCAACCAUUCAGACUAUUAGCUAAACUGUUAAGCUCGAGACCGUUAGGGGUAACUGGAAUUUCUAGUGUAGGAGUGAAAUCCGUAGAUAUUAGAAGGAACACCAAUAGCGUAGGCAGGUUGCUGGGACGGUUCUGACACUAAGGCACGAAGGCGUAGGGAGCAAACGGGAUUAGAUACCCUAGUAGUC